Molecule: ribosomal RNA, 271 nt
Filed under: uncultured bacterium
Lineage: Bacteria
Description: partial 16S ribosomal RNA
Rfam family: Bacterial small subunit ribosomal RNA
Source: RNAcentral
GUCCACGCCCUAAACGAUGUACACUAGAUCCGGGAGGCUCUGACGCCAUCCGGGUCGAAGCUAAAGUAUUUAGUGUACCGCCUGGGGAGUACGGUCGCAAGGCUAAAACUCAAAGGAAUUGACGGGGGCUCACACAAGCGGUGGAGCAUGUGGCUCAAUUCGAAGCAACGCGAAGAACCUUAUCCUGGGCUUGACAUGCACGGAUUAGUCCCGAGAAAUCGGGAUCAGGCCCGCAAGGGUACAACGUGCACAGGUGCUGCAUGGCUGUCGU